GGAUGUGGGGUUGCUUAGACAACCAGGAUGUUGGCUUAGAAGCAGCCACCAUUGAAAGAGUGCGUAAUAGCUCACUGGUCGAGUGACCCCGCGCCGAAAAUGUACCGGGGCUAAACAUAUUACCGAAACUGUGGAUGAACCUCUUUAGAGGUUCGUGGUAGGAGAGCGUUCUAAGGGCGGUGAAGUCAGACCGGAAGGACUGGUGGAGCGCUUAGAAGUGAGAAUGCCGGUAUGAGUAGCGAAAGAAGGGUGAGAAUCCCUUCCACCGAAUAUCUAAGGUUUCCUGAGGAAGGCUCGUCCGCUCAGGGUUAGUCGGGACCUAAGCCGAGGCCGAUAGGCGUAGGCGAUGGACAACAGGUAGAGAUUCCUGUACCAGUGCUAAUUGUUUAACCGAUGGGGUGACACAGAAGGAUAGGGAAUCGCACGAAUGGAAAUGUGCGUCCAAGCAGUGAGUGUGAGAAGUAGGCAAAUCCGCUUCUCGCGAAGCAUGAGCUGUGAUGGGGAAGGAAAUUAAGUACGGAAGUUCCUGAUUUCACGCUGUCAAGAAAAGCCUCUAGGAAGAGUAGUACUGCCCGUACCGCAAACCGACACAGGUAGAUGAGGAGAGAAUCCUAAGGUGAGCGAGAGAACUCUCGUUAAGGAACUCGGCAAAAUGACCCCGUAACUUCGGGAGAAGGGGUGCUCUAUUAGGGUGCAAGCCCGAGAGAGCCGCAGUGAAUAGGCCCAGGCGACUGUUUAGCAAAAACACAGGUCUCUGCAAAACCGUAAGGUGACGUAUAGGGGCUGACGCCUGCCCGGUGCUGGAAGGUUAAGAGGAGUGCUUAGCUUCGGCGAAGGUACGAAUUGAAGCCCCAGUAAACGGCGGCCGUAACUAUAACGGUCCUAAGGUAGCGAAAUUCCUUGUCGGGUAAGUUCCGACCCGCACGAAAGGCGCAACGAUCUGGGCACUGUCUCAACGAGAGACUCGGUGAAAUUAUAGUACCUGUGAAGAUGCAGGUUACCCGCGACAGGACGGAAAGACCCCGUGGAGCUUUACUGCAACCUGAUAUGGAAUGUUUGUACCGCUUGUACAGGAUAGGUAGGAGCCGAAGAGACGUGUGCGCUAGCAUACGAGGAGGCAAUGGUGGGAUACUACCCUGGCUGUAUGACCAUUCUAACCCGCCACGCUUAGCGCGUGGGGAGACAGUGUCAGGUGGGCAGUUUGACUGGGGCGGUCGCCUCCUAAAGAGUAACGGAGGCGCCCAAAGGUUCCCUCAGAAUGGAUGGAAAUCAUUCGCAGAGUGUAAAGGCACAAGGGAGCUUGACUGCGAGACUGACAAGUCGAGCAGGGACGAAAGUCGGGCUUAGUGAUCCGGUGGUUCCGCAUGGAAGGGCCAUCGCUCAACGGAUAAAAGCUACCCCGGGGAUAACAGGCUUAUCUCCCCCAAGAGUCCACAUCGACGGGGAGGUUUGGCACCUCGAUGUCGGCUCGUCGCAUCCUGGGGCUGUAGUCGGUCCCAAGGGUUGGGCUGUUCGCCCAUUAAAGCGGCACGCGAGCUGGGUUCAGAACGUCGUGAGACAGUUCGGUCCCUAUCCGUCGCGGGCGCAGGAAAUUUGAGAGGAGCUGUCCUUAGUACGAGAGGACCGGGAUGGACACACCGCUGGUGUACCAGUUGUUCCGCCAGGAGCAUCGCUGGGUAGCUAUGUGUGGCAGGGAUAAACGCUGAAAGCAUCUAAGCGUGAAGCCCCCCUCAAGAUGAGAUUUCCCAUUUCUUCGGAAAGUAAGAUCCCUGAAAGAUGAUCAGGUAGAUAGGUUUGGAGUGGAAGUGUAGCGAUACAUGGAGCGGACAAAUACUAAUCGAUCGAGGACUUAACCAAAA
Molecule: ribosomal RNA, 1859 nt
Filed under: Listeria monocytogenes
Lineage: Bacteria; Bacillati; Bacillota; Bacilli; Caryophanales; Listeriaceae
Description: partial 23S ribosomal RNA
Rfam family: Bacterial large subunit ribosomal RNA
Source: RNAcentral